AAGAACAUGGACGGCAUACGGGUCAACGAAGGAAAAAUUCAGGCUCUUGAGUUGGCCUGAAUUUUUCCUUCGGCUGACACGUACGCCAUCCAA
Molecule: non-coding RNA, 93 nt
Organism: Brachypodium distachyon (stiff brome)
Lineage: Eukaryota; Viridiplantae; Streptophyta; Magnoliopsida; Poales; Poaceae
Source: RefSeq, marked provisional